UACGGAGGGUGCGAGCGUUGUCCGGAAUCAUUGGGCGUAAAGCGCGCGCAGGCGGUCCUUUAAGUCUGAUGUGAAAGCCCACGGCUCAACCGUGGAGGGUCAUUGGAAACUGGGGGGACUUGAGUGCAGGAGAGAAGAGUGGAAUUCCACGUGUAGCGGUGAAAUGCGUAGAGAUGUGGAGGAACACCAGUGGCGAAGGCGACUCUCUGGGACGGUACUGACGCUGAGACGCGAAAGCGUGGGGAGCGAACAGG
Molecule: ribosomal RNA, 254 nt
Filed under: uncultured bacterium
Lineage: Bacteria
Description: partial 16S ribosomal RNA
Rfam family: Bacterial small subunit ribosomal RNA
Source: RNAcentral